UCCGGUUUGUCACCGGUAGUCCCAUUAGAGUGCCCAACUGAAUGUGGCAACUAAUGGCAAGGGUUGCGCUCGUUGCGGGACUUAACCCAACAUCUCACGACACGAGCUGACGACAGCCAUGCAGCACCUGUCUCCGCGCCCCUUGCGGGAAGCCGUGUUUCCACGGCGGUCAGGAACAUGUCAAACCCAGGUAAGGUUCUUCGCGUUGCGUCGAAUUAAACCACAUGCUCCGCUGCUUGUGCGGGCCCCCGUCGAUUCCUUUGAGUUUUAGCCUUGCGGCCGUACUCCCCAGGCGGGGCACUUAAUGCGUUAGCUCCGGCACGGGAGGAGUCGACACCUCCCACACCUAGUGCCCAUCGUUUACGGCGUGGACUAC
RNAcentral lists this unclassified non-coding RNA (376 nucleotides) under uncultured Solirubrobacterales bacterium. RNAcentral's name for it is "contains 16S-23S intergenic spacer region". Lineage: Bacteria; Bacillati; Actinomycetota; Thermoleophilia; Solirubrobacterales. The record is from RNAcentral.